CUGAGCGAUAUAGAAAACUAAAACAGAGCUAGAAAAGAGAUUGAGUCGAUUUUUUAAAURGUGAAAGUGAAAACUGAAACUCUUAUGAGUUUUGUACUUGGCCUACACUAAACUCUUCUCACUUUUUCGCACAAGCUUAACUAAAACUUAAAGCUUACAUUUGAAGACAUUGCAGAUUUAGAGCUUACAUUAUAAAAUGUUAGAAAAGGAAGCAAACAAAGCAUAAAGUAUGCCUUAAUAUAGGCAACAAAAGUCAGAUCCAUUUGUAUUAAAACUGGACCUGAACCAGGAACCAAGUCGAAUGCCGAGGCCUGCAGUCUCACCAUCCAGCGGAAACAAACAAAACACAGGCUGUUCUUUUCAAUGUCGUAAUGUCGGUCAUGUGCGCUGGUGCUACGCUGAUAAUAUUCAUGGUGUCCAGUGUUGAGAGGUACCUGGCCAUAGAACACACUCACUUCUACCUGGAAAACGUCACAACCAAGAAAAUCAUU
Exaiptasia diaphana is the source of this 491-nucleotide long non-coding RNA. RefSeq lists it as uncharacterized. The transcript has 3 exons. NCBI's taxonomy places the organism in Eukaryota, Metazoa, Cnidaria, Anthozoa, Actiniaria, Aiptasiidae. The record is from RefSeq and is a predicted model, not a curated record.